Populus trichocarpa (black cottonwood) is the source of this 156-nucleotide non-coding RNA. The record is from Rfam. NCBI's taxonomy places the organism in Eukaryota, Viridiplantae, Streptophyta, Magnoliopsida, Malpighiales, Salicaceae.
UCUAGAACUUGAGAUAUGGGCUGAACACUGAACAGUGUCUGGGCUGCAGGACAGAUUCGGACUUCUUUGGUGUUGCUACAAUUUGAACUUGAAAACGGCCUUGUUAAAUCUUGGACUCCACAUGAAAGUUGUAGGCCUAUGUCUUACCUUUCCAUC